AUUGAACGCUGGCGGCAUGCCUUACACAUGCAAGUCGAACGGCAGCACGGGAGCAAUCCUGGUGGCGAGUGGCGAACGGGUGAGUAAUAUAUCGGAGCGUGCCCGGUCGUGGGGAUAACGUAGCGAAAGCUACGCUAAUACCGCAUACGAUCUACGGAUGAAAGCGGGGGAUCGCAAGACCUCGCGCGAUUGGAGCGGCCGAUAUCAGAUUAGGUAGUUGGUGAGGUAAAGGCUCACCAAGCCGACGAUCUGUAGCUGGUCUGAGAGGACGACCAGCCACACUGGGACUGAGACACGGCCCAGACUCCUACGGGAGGCAGCAGUGGGGAAUUUUGGACAAUGGGCGCAAGCCUGAUCCAGCAAUGCCGCGUGCAGGAUGAAGG
RNAcentral lists this ribosomal RNA (383 nucleotides) under uncultured bacterium. RNAcentral's name for it is "bacterial SSU rRNA". It matches the Rfam family "Bacterial small subunit ribosomal RNA", at positions 29 to 414 of the family's 1533-position model. The record is from RNAcentral.